GUUUCGAACCACAUAGAGAGACUGAAACAAAUCCUUCCUUGUUGCAGCUAGAUAUUAUUACAGAUUUCACUGUCCGCAUGCAUCUCAGUCUCAGGUAAAAGCGCCUCCAAAUUCUAUUAUUCUCCCGUUGAUUGCACCUACGAAUGAGAACAUAUAAGAGCUAAGGGUUUUGGGUAUAAUCAACCACUGAGUUGGAUUUCAUGAAAAUCUCAGCAAUUCACUGCUGCAGGCACAGACAACGUAGCUGUGCGACUUCAUCUUCUUCGCUACCAUGGAUAUCUCCUCUUAACUUUACAAAACCUGCAGAACCUAAACUAGACCCACCUCCUGAAAUCAGAGGCUCUGAAACGAGGAAGAAGAACAAAUAUAUCACUCAUGACGUUGCUAUAAAUUUGAUCAAACGAGAGAAAGAUCCGCAACAUGCCUUGAAAAUAUUUAACAUGAUAUCCGAACAAAAGGGGUUUUAUCACAACAAUGCUACCUAUGCAUCCAUUCUUCAAAAGCUUGCUCAGUUUAAGAAGUUUCAAGCUGUUGAACGGGUUUUGCAUCAAAUGACCUAUGAAACUUGUAAAUUUCACGAGGGUAUAUUUAUCAACCUUAUGAAGCAUUACUCAAAAUGUUCUUUUCAUGAAAAAGUGCUUGAUACUUUUUUCUCUAUUCAGACAAUUGUUCGUGAAAAGCCCUCUCCCAAAGCUAUCAGCUCUUGUCUCAAUCUCUUGGUUGAUUCCAACCGGGUUGAUUUGGCGCGGCAGUUACUCUUGCAUGCCAAGAGGAGUUUAAUUUAUAAGCCAAAUGUUUGCAUUUUCAAUAUCUUGGUGAAGUACCAUUGCAAAAAGGGGGAUCUUGAGUCUGCUUUUGAAGUUGUUAAAGAAAUGAGGAACUCCAAGUAUUCUUAUCCUAACAUUAUUACCUACUCAACCCUGAUGGACGGUCUCUGUCGAAACGGAAGACUCAAAGAAGCUUUUGAUCUUUUUGAGGAAAUGCUUUCGAAGGAUCAGAUUGUGCCUGAUCCCCUUACUUACAAUGUUUUGAUUAAUGGGUUUUGCCGUGGAGGGAAACCUGAUCGUGCUAGAAAUGUUAUUGAGUUUAUGAAAAAUAAUGGAUGCUGUCCUAAUGUAUUCAAUUACUCAGCCCUAGUUGAUGGAUUAUGUAAAGCGGGAAAACCGGAAGAUGCAAAAGGGGUUUUGGCUGAGAUGAAGAACUCUGGUUUGAAACCUGAUACGGUUACCUACACUUCUUUGAUCAAUUUUUUCUGUAGGAAUGGGCAAAUUGAUGAGGCUAUAGAGUUGCUUAAAGAAAUGAAGGAAAAUGAAUGCGAGGCUGAUACUGUUACAUUCAAUGUGAUACUCGGAGGCUUGUGCAGAGAAGGUAGAUUUGACGAGGCUUUGGAUAUGAUUGAGAAACUCCCACACCAAGGUGUCUAUUUGAAUAAAGGUAGUUACAGGAUUGUACUAAACUCGUUAACUCAAAAAUGUGAGUUGAGGAAGGCAAAUAAAUUAUUAGGAUUAAUGCUAAGUAGAGGGUUUGUACCCCAUUAUGCUACCUCAAAUGAAUUAUUGGUUCGUCUUUGUAAGGACGGGAUGGCUGAUGAUGCUGCUACAGCUCUAUUUGACUUGGUGGAUAUGGGGUUCCAGCCACAACUUGAUUCUUGGGAACUUCUAAUCGAAUUAAUCUGCAGAGACAGAAAAUUAUUGUACGUUUUUGAGCUAAUUGAUGAAUUGGUAACUGCAAAUUCCUGAUGUCUGCAUUGUGGAAUGAUGUUUUAUUUCUCAAGCAAUUUCGGUUUGGAAUCCGUCACUUGAUGCAAAGGAUGAUACAAAAGUGAAUUCAGAUAAACAACAAUGGGCAGGCAAUAGACAUUCUCUACCAACAAUUCCAAUAAAAGAAUUUGAUUUGAUAAAGCCCUUUAGUUAUCUUACUUAUAUUUAAGGGAGAGGAAAAUACAUCACAAAUUCUACUCCAAGCUCCCAUAUGCAUUAGAAAAUCAGAGAAGCUUUGAUAUAACAUUACAAGAAGUUUAGAAUGCUUUAGUUGCAGCUCCAAGAAUAGCAUGGUUUUCAUAUAUCCUGCAAAGAAAGUCAGAUACGGGUGAUAAAUAAAAUUGAGACCAUUAGCCCGAAAAACCAAAAAACCAAGAAAAGCGUGGAAGUGAUUCAGAAUGUCUUUCGCUUGUUAUAUGAGAACGCACAAGAGAUUAUUGAAGGUCAACGUUUAUCAUUGGAGUCCCUAUUUUGACAUUAUUGUUCAUCUUGCUUAAUGGUGGAGAUCUACUUGUAAGAUCACAAUGUAUAUAGAGGAAGAAUUUUAUAAGUCACUUGGAGAAGCAUCUAAUUAUUGGAAGCUACCACACUACCACAGAACCCUGUAUUUUGAUGUGUAACAUGAAUAAACCUCACCAGGGUGAGUGUGCUCGCCUUCCAAGUGAACAUAGUAUCAUUUUUCUCACCAAGUGCUUCAGAAUAGAUGGUACCAAAUGUGUUCAAAUGUGUCUUGUGAACAUUUAUUUGUCUCACAUUGCAUUGCGUUAUAUCCUGUGAAUACUCUGCAUGUCAAAUGUUUCAGGGAAGAUACAAGUGUCACAUGUAUAUGAGUGUCUUGUGUUUUAUGCAUCAUGAUGUGCAUUCACAUUGCAACAACAAUAUCAAUCAAACUUUAUCCCAUUAAAUAAAGUCGGCUACAUGAAUCAAUUUUUAUCA
Lathyrus oleraceus (garden pea) is the source of this 2696-nucleotide RNA transcript. It is a transcript of the gene named pentatricopeptide repeat-containing protein At5g18475, with no coding region annotated. The transcript is spliced from 4 exons. Lineage: Eukaryota; Viridiplantae; Streptophyta; Magnoliopsida; Fabales; Fabaceae. The record is from RefSeq and is a predicted model, not a curated record.